RNAcentral lists this ribosomal RNA (468 nucleotides) under uncultured bacterium. RNAcentral's name for it is "partial 16S ribosomal RNA". It matches the Rfam family "Bacterial small subunit ribosomal RNA", at positions 28 to 507 of the family's 1533-position model. The record is from RNAcentral.
GACGAACGCUGGCGGCGUGCUUAACACAUGCAAGUCGAACGGAAAGGCCCUGCUUUUGUGGGGUGCUCGAGUGGCGAACGGGUGAGUAACACGUGAGUAACCUGCCCUUGACUUUGGGAUAACUUCAGGAAACUGGGGCUAAUACCGGAUAGGAGCUCCUGCUGCAUGGUGGGGGUUGGAAAGUUUCGGCGGUUGGGGAUGGACUCGCGGCUUAUCAGCUUGUUGGUGGGGUAGUGGCUUACCAAGGCUUUGACGGGUAGCCGGCCUGAGAGGGUGACCGGCCACAUUGGGACUGAGAUACGGCCCGGACUCCUACGGGAGGCAGCAGUGGGGAAUAUUGCACCAUGGGCGGAAGCCUGAUGCAGCAACGCCGCGUGCGGGAUGACGGCCUUCGGGUUGUAAACCGCUUUCGCCUGUGACGAAGCGUGAGUGACGGUAAUGGGUAAAGAAGCACCGGCUAACUACGUG